UCUAGCAGCCAUAUCACCCUGUAACUCACAACUGGCAACCCACUGAAGCUCAGCAGGUGUGAGCCUGGUCAGUACCUGGAUGGGAGACCUCCUGGGAAAAACUAAGGUUGCUGCUGGAA
Ribosomal RNA from Lepisosteus oculatus (spotted gar), 119 nucleotides. The record is from Ensembl. Lineage: Eukaryota; Metazoa; Chordata; Actinopteri; Semionotiformes; Lepisosteidae.